Molecule: unclassified non-coding RNA, 200 nt
Filed under: fungal sp.
Lineage: Eukaryota; Fungi
Description: partial internal transcribed spacer 2
Source: RNAcentral
UUAAGUUCAGCGGGUAGUCCUACCUGAUUUGAGGUCAGAGUCAAAAGGUGCCCAAGGGCAGUUGUGAGCAGGCUCAACACAUUCACCAACGAAACUUAUUACGCCGACUACAGUGCUAUAACCCCACUAAGUCCUUUAAGGCGAGCCAGCAAUUAGGCAGACACCCAAAUCCAAUCUCCUCGGAAACCCAAGGGAUUGAG